Long non-coding RNA from Triticum aestivum (bread wheat), 2839 nucleotides. RefSeq lists it as uncharacterized. The record is from RefSeq and is a predicted model, not a curated record. The transcript is spliced from 11 exons. NCBI's taxonomy places the organism in Eukaryota, Viridiplantae, Streptophyta, Magnoliopsida, Poales, Poaceae.
UCCUGAGCGCCUCCUCUCCCUAUCUCUCUCUCUCGUUCCCCUCCCCUCCCACGCGCCUCCUCUCCCGCUCGCCCUCGCGCCGCCGCCUCCGCUCGCGCUCGGAAGGGUGACGAUGAUUUAGAUCGGAAGGGUAGCUUAUCUUCCUCAAGAUUUGUCUGUAGGUGUUCGACAAAACUCCUAUAGACUGCCGGGAAGAUUAUAUAUCCACACAUCUAUCACCAGCUGGUCCAUAUAGAGGAGGAGAUAAGGUACAUAUCAAGACACCUUUCUCCGUGACUUCCGUUGUUGAUGGUCAUGAUUCUGUUUAGUUACAGGGCGUGGGGUGCUCUUCUUGGAAGACGGUUAGCGGAGCGUGGAAUUAUAGUCGCUUGCAUUGAUUAUAGAAAUUUGCCCCAAGGAGCAAUAAGUGACAUGGUCAGUGAUGCUUUUGAGGCAUUUUCAUUUAUUUGUGAUACUAUUGCUAGCUAUGGAGGAGAUCCUAAUCAGAACUAUGCGCCGCACUUGAAUAUUUGAUCCUUUUGGGCGGUGAUUCUAUCCAAAGUCGUCGUUGUGACGUCGGUGAGCAACCUCGGGCACCACACUGAGUGCUACCGCCUCCCCACCACUCAUGACGCCAGGCUGUUCUACUUCUUCGAAUUCAGGUGGCACAAGGAGGACCCAGUGGUGAUCUGGCUGAUGGGAAGGCCCGGCUACUGCAGCGAGCUAGCCCUCUUCUACGAGAACGGCGCCUUCCACAUAGCAGACAACAUGUCGCUACUCUAGAAUGAGUUUGGUUGGGAUCAGGAGUCGAAUCUUAUCUAUGUUGAUCAGCAAACUGAGACUGGGUUCAGCUACAUGUCUGAUUCUGAUUAUUCACUAUAUGUAGUUUUGCAAUUGAUGCGAUUAGGAUAUUACUGGGGGAUUUUAUCUAGGUUCCAGGGUGUUGAAAAUUAAAAAGAAUGUAACUAAAAUUUUACUAAAUUUAAAGCUGCAUGUAAGAUUUAUGGUUUAAAAAGAACAUACUUCCAAGUUCCAGAUCAGUUUGCGGUGUGUGUGUGCGCGCGCUUAAAAGGUAUAAUUCAGUUUAAUGGAUGCUAUGCAUCAUGAGAGUACUUGAUCUUUGUAUAUGUAUUAUAGUUUGCCAUCUGGUGUCAAUCUAAUUUCUUAACACGAAAAUGAGCAAUUGUGAUGCACCUCUUCUUUCCUAAUAAUAGUUUGCUUCUGACUAGCGACUGGUGGCGCUGGGUGCGCUUGCUUACUUUGUCGCGCAACUUCUUUGAUCACCGCGUAGAACCUGACCUGGGUGUUGCAGCUCUGUCCGUGGUGGUCUCAUGGAUGUAGUGGUGACACCUCUCCUAGUAUACAUGUCCAAAAUCAUUAUUUUGUGGGAAUUCUCGCAGACUUUGCCUUUGUUCCGGGAGGCGUGCAACGACGGCAUGAAGAACAACAUCGAGACCAUACGUUCGGUUUCUCUGUGCCCGCUCUGCUGCCAUCCACACCCGCACUAUCCCAGCUCGUGUGCCGGCUCGAGGAGAAGCUCAGGCCGCCACCACACAAAGGGAGAGGAACCCAAGAAGAAUCUAUCCCGCCUUACUGUCCAUGACCCGACGACAGAGACAGCUACUUCGAGCCUAGGCUCGUCGGCGGGGCAGUGCAAGGCGUAACUCCGACGUGGUUCCUCGCUGGUUGGACGGUGUUCAGGCGCAACCCGGUGCCCACUGAGUACUGCCUCGGCUACAACCUCCCUUGGCUUGAGUCUCAGUUUGAUCUUACGGUUCUACGGCUCAAAGGUUGAUGACUGCCAUGAGGCACUACCCAGUUAAAUCUUCGUAAGUUGUUGAGCAUGAACUUUUCUUCUUAAUUAUUUUCAUCUUCUUAGCCUUGCCACAUCAUCUCUUAAAAAUAGUUUGAAUCCAUCAACUGUGUGCUCUGCCUAUGCAAUUCAUUGAACCGUAAGAUUAAAACCUUCAUAAGGUGUAGCCUUGUCUCCAACUACCUUCUGAAUAUUAACAUUUUUGUUGGAAAAAGAAAAAAGAUUGAAUCAUAGUUUGCACUAAAUGAAAAUGAGUUUUUUUUACAUUUUGUUCACUCACUAGGAGGGUCACUAUUUAUAUGCUUGCUUCAACUUUUUCCGGAUCACCAUGUAAAUCAUUUGUACAGGAGCUCUGGAACAAGAAAAACAAUAAUCACAAGGAUGAAGGCUUAACAUGUAUUUUGUUUGCCAUCUGGUGUUUAUCUAAUUUUUUGAUGGUGUGACCAAAACCAGAUUACCUUUUCUAAUGUUAGUAUUGGAGUGCUAUCUGCAAUGGCAUCUACUAUAUAUACUGAAAGUAGUUUUAUUUAUCUUUAGAACUUGAUAUAUUUUCUAAAACCACAUAUUAUGCUUCUAUUUGUAUCUAUGACUUCUGAAGCAAGUCAACACCCACACAGGCAAACAAACCAAACUGACGGUAGAGUCACUGCAUAUAAGGAAAUUUACUUUGCUUCCAGUAGUGGGUUUAGGCUUGAUAGAAGCUUCGUUGUUUAUAUUUUCAGAAAACUGGAUCUAUCAUGAUUAAGAUAUGGUCAACAUGUAUUGUAUGCACUCACGGAGGCAAUUGAGCCAAGCUAUCUAUUGUAUGCCUAACUAUGGCUUCGUAGUUUUAUUGCCUCCAUUGCCAUUGUUGGCCUUUUCUUUCUUAUGUUUCUGCUCAUAUUACUGAACUUAAUGUUAACUAAUUAGUUUUUCUAUUCGUAUGACCGUAGUGGAUGCUGCCUUGCUUCUGGCACGGGUUAACUUUGAUAGUCUCAUGCCCAUGUUUAACUUGAUGAUCGAUGUUACUCUUCUGGUACAUAUUGAAUGUUUCUUCUUACUCUUGAA